AAUUGAAGAGGGUCCUCAUGUAGCAGUAGCAGCAGCAGCAUGAAGAAUUGAAGACCGACCAACAGAGCCUGCAAUGCAAACAGAGAGGCAUGAGGAAACUGAAUCCAAUCACAUCAAAUCAAAUCGAGCUGCUGCACCUUGACCUUGAGGAAAACAAACCUCAUCUCAUGUCAUCUCAGGGAAGAAUAAGAAGAAAAAUAUAUGGCUGCUGCUCCAUGACCAUGACCCUGAAUUGUUGCUGCUGCACCAGAUCAAGGACGAAGAAGACCUGCAAAAAAGCAAUAACUAGCAAUGCACAAGCAUGAAUUCAUGGAAGGACGGAUGCAAGGCCAAACAUCCAGCAUACUGUUUCUUAAUGCCCCAACUACUUAAAAAACCAUGGUAGUUCUAACCAUAUUAAAUUAAAGGACAAAGUGAAGUCAUGAUAUUGAGAGUUCCAUCUUAUAAAGCUUUCUGUUUAGCAUAUCCUAAAUCA
Molecule: long non-coding RNA, 475 nt
Filed under: Triticum aestivum (bread wheat)
Lineage: Eukaryota; Viridiplantae; Streptophyta; Magnoliopsida; Poales; Poaceae
Description: long non-coding RNA (TAES_LNC026637)
Source: RNAcentral